This 747-nucleotide long non-coding RNA is filed under the name Danio rerio (zebrafish). Its description in RNAcentral is "si:ch211-209p16.4 (ENSDARG00000096046.2)". The record is from RNAcentral. Lineage: Eukaryota; Metazoa; Chordata; Actinopteri; Cypriniformes; Danionidae.
AGGCUUGCAGAAUAAACCAUUCUAACUACAGUUUGGUCUCUUCUCAUGUCUCCGGGUCGACCUGCUGAACUUUGCUGAAUCUGGUGCCUAAUAUAGGGGAAAUCUUACAGAUCUGGGGGCUCGUCCGGGAUACAUCUGACCAGAUACUUUGGGGGCCCCCACAUCAGCUAGCACCUCCACGCAGCAUAACUACUAGAAGGAUAAGCAUGAAGUGGCUAUGGACAUUGGGACUGUUUCUCUUUCUUGUUGCUCAAGCUAAUGCAGCCAGGCUGAAACGCUGGACACAUGAUCAUGAAUUUGGAUGGGCAGAGGAUGGGGCUGACAAUCCAAUUGAAAUAAUAUGUGGUAUCAAUAUGUAAAUGAGUUUUAGCUAGGUCAUAUAAUGUAUCUGGUUGUUAUGUAUGUUCUGUUAUGCCUCAUUCAGCCAAACAAACCCCUCUUUAUGCCAAACCCAUGAAUAAAACAGCUGCUAAAUGUUCUGCCAGUUUUGCAGGAUCUGGGUACCAGAAUCCAUAUAUAAUUGUCGAUGACUACGAUCCAUACCGGAUUGGCAUUAGAAAUGGUACAUGUGAUGCUCUAUUUUGGGUAAAAUUUGGCCAUGCUAAACCCUCACCUAUUAGCCACAAGGUUUUUAUUAACCACUCUAUUACACACCCUGUGUGUUAUAACCAGACCAUGGGCUCUCAUUUCAUGGGAAGCACUGUUAACUGUCAACAAAUUGCCUCCUCGGGAGAGGGGGCCCCAGUC